AUGCUCCCCGCCUACCUCGUCCACGGAGUCGACGUCUACGGCCACCACCCGCAGGAUCUGCUGCGGCGCCAUCCGCCGGCGACAUCGCCCGACGGCAAGCGUGCCUCCUACUUCGUGAACCUGGUACGCCCCCUCACCGCGACGGAUGCAAGAAGAAGCAGGGUCGUGCCGGGGGGGUUCUGGAAGUCGGAGCGCGCCCCCGUCCCCGUCGAAGCCGCCCCCGACAAGAUGAUCGGAACCAAGCAGGCCUUCUCUUUCAUCUCCAAGGAGGCAGAGCACAAGGGUGGACCCCGCGGCGGGUUCAUCAUGCACGAGCUCCUUCUCCCAGGCCAGGCAGGACGCCUCGCCGGCGGGGACGAGCUGGCGCUCUCAAAGGUCUACCCGUCUCCGCGCGUCGCCACCAAGAAGAGGUCCAGGUCCCAGGGACAGGGACCGACCGCCAGCGCAACAAGGACCGCGGCCGCCUCCUCUGCUCCAGCGCCGACGUCUUCGCCGCCUCUGCUCCAGCGCUCCUGCGACGUCUUCAGCAGCGCAAGAAGCAGCAGCGCCGUCUCCUCUCCGCCUCCUUCCCUGGAGCCGCCGGCCUCCUCUGCUCCGCCUUCCCUGGAGGCCUCGUCUCUCGGGCCGGCAUCCUCUGCGCCGGGGCCGGCAUCCUCUUCUCCGCCCCCCAUCCAGGGAUCGUCUCCAUGGCACCGGCAGGGUGCCGCCAAGAGGGUGCUCCUCCUGGAGGUGGGCGACUCCCCCCCGAGGGAAGGCCACAACAUUUCGUGCCACCAGGUCUACCGCGCCAUGGAGGUUCUUGGACCCGGGAGGCGUGUCCCCAUCGACUGCGCUGACCUCUUCCUGCUUGACAGCGGGAAGGGGAAGAGGCAGCGGACGGCUGCAGAGUUUUGA
This 894-nucleotide ribosomal RNA is filed under the name Triticum aestivum (bread wheat). RNAcentral describes it as "partial small subunit ribosomal RNA". The record is from RNAcentral. Lineage: Eukaryota; Viridiplantae; Streptophyta; Magnoliopsida; Poales; Poaceae.